Bubalus bubalis (water buffalo) is the source of this 768-nucleotide long non-coding RNA. RefSeq lists it as uncharacterized. The record is from RefSeq and is a predicted model, not a curated record. The transcript has 2 exons. NCBI's taxonomy places the organism in Eukaryota, Metazoa, Chordata, Mammalia, Artiodactyla, Bovidae.
CAGUUUCUAUCUGUUAAACCUCCUUCUCCUUCACCUGCUGCCAUUGUGCACAUCUGAGAUUGGAGUUCAAGAAGCGGGGAUGGUAAAGGGGGAGCAGGAAGGGUCUUACUUCAUUGUAACAGUUAAAAUCUAGAUUUGGGAUCCCUGAGACUGGCUGAGAUUUAAAGCUGAUUCUCCUGUGAGUAGUUUUGUGAGUUCUUUAUAAGGUUUUCCUGCUGAAACUCUCAAACUUUGAGCCCCAGAUGCUGCUGCUAAGUCACUUCAGUCGUGUCCGACUCUGUGCGACCCAAUGGACGGCAAUGAAUUUUGUUUUUCCAGCUUGUGAUGGUUAACUUUAUGUGUCAACUUGGCUGGGCCAUGAAGUGCCCAGAUAUUUGGAUAAACAUGAUUCUGGGUGUGUCUGUGGGAGUGUUUCUGGAUGAGAUUAAUGUUUGAGUUGGUAGACUGGGUAAAGCACACUGCCCCUCCCAUGAUGGGUGGGCCUCCUCCAAUCUAAUGACAGCCUGAGUAGAAUAAAAAGGCAGAGUAAGAAACGAACAAAAUUGUGUCAUUUGCAGAGACAUGGAAGGACCUAGAUACUGAUACUGAGAGAAAGGAGUCUGGCAGGCUACAGUCCAUGGAUUCACAAAGCAUCGUAGAUGACUGAGCAACUGAGCAUGCACACACAUGCCUGAUUCACUUUACCGAAUGCAGAAACUGAUCCAGCAAUGUAAAGCAACCAUACUUCAAAUAAAUAAGUAAAUAAAUAAAACUACUUAAAAAAAAAAA